GCGCUCCCGGGCCCCUACAAGGCCGCAACCACACCCUAGCCGGCGGCGCGUCUUCGCCCUCUCUUGGGCCCCGCAGCGGGGUCGAGGGCGCAGCGCCACGCGAGCUUCCGCAGAACAAAGACGGGUCCAGCCCUAGAGUGAGAACUGCCGCCGCCGCCUCCCCAGCUCCGGCCCGGCCGCCCUGACCCGGCUAAGCCCGAAACCCACCCGAGCGACUGGCGGCAGCCGGCUCCACGCCCGCUCCCAAACCAGCAGGGCCCCGGAAACGACUGAAACUGCAGUCCCCGGGGGUCAUCGAUAUUCAAACCUCCCUCCCGCACCAAACCCGUCACCUCAAGCCCUUCUGCAUUAUUAUUUAUAUUAUUUUUUUCCAGCCGCCAAGCUGUCAUUCUAAAGUUAGGAAGGGGGCCUCGCGGUGCCCACGUUCGAGGCAGGUGGGCAGGGGAGGGGGCACUGCAGGUCGGAGCUGUAAAUCCUGUCUCUUUGCGGUUGUUGUUCCCACUCACCACCCGCCGCCCCCCUCCACCCGGGUUGGUUUUUUUUUUUCUUUCUUUCCGCCUAGCAGUUGCUAUGGGUUACCAGGACGGUUGCCAUGGGUUACCGGACUGAGGCCGGCUGGCUCGCUACCUGCCACCCAGUCGCCGCAGCCGGCGGAGCGGCCCGGGUGGGAGGCAGCGGGAGCGCGCGUGUGCGGGCAGCGGCGCGGGGAGUGUGCGCGAGCCGGCCGGGCGCCGCAGCCAACAGGCGGCCUGGGUGCCGCAGCGGGAGCGCCGCCGCCGGUGGGGUGGGGGGCAGAGCUAUAAAGAAGGCCCGGAGUAUUUUGAAAGGAAAUCUUUGGAAUUUUGGAGAAAAGGGGUCAACUACCAGUUUGCACAGCUAAAAUAAAUUAGCGUCCAGUGCACUGUUCCUAACAAUGAUCUAGAAAAGUUUCCAUCAAGAGUGAAGAGCAAUUGUGUUUGACUUAAAGGAACAAUGGUGACUCGUUUGUGAGCUGCAUAUGGCAAGAAGAAAGCCAGAAUCCUUUGUAAAUAUUUGAAAUUUAAAGAAAUUGUUGCUUAUGUACAUCCUAAAAUUUUUGAAUUCCAUUCUACUAAAAUGUAUUAAUUUCAUAUGACCUUUAUGUGCAAAGGAAAAUUGUACCUAUGCUUUGAAUGUCUAAUUACAAUAACUAAUUUCAGACAGCUUUUUGUAUUUGAAAAUGUGUAUAUACAUAUGUUAUAUAUAUAAUAAAGGUCUAUAUUCCAAACAAAAGCAGAAAAUAGUAUUGAAAUAAAUUGUCCCUCUGUUGAAAAGAUGCUGCAUUGUAUUCACAAAGUGACUUAAAUUAUUAAGAAGAAAACUUACGUAGAAAUAGAAUAAGCUUUUGCUAUUUUUGUCUUAAAAUUUUAGAAGCCUUUCAUGGAAAAGGGUCUUCCUUUAUGGCUGAAAUAUUGAAAACCUUAUCUGUACCACAGCUGCUCAAUAAUGAUGAAUCCUCAAGGCACCAAAAAACGUUUUGAAUUCAAAACAGCAUCAAUUUAAUGUUGGGAUAUAAUGGUAAUUGUGGCUAAGAGAAAUGAAUUUGUUUAAAUUCUUAAGAGCCAUAAAAGAAUUUUUUUUAAUCUUACUAUAGUAAGGUUAUUGCAUAUCACUUGUUUGUAUUUAAUUAUUUAGUAAAAUGUGAACUAGAGUUAAAAAGCUCCUGCAAGAUAUUUAAUAUCUUAAGGUACAUAACUCAAGAGUAGCAUUUCUGUUUUUCCUUAGUAAUUUUUAAAACUUGAAAUUUUAACUCAAUUUCUUUAAUCACUAUCUUCCAAGUGAGACUUUAAAAGAAGCCCUAAGUAACAGGUUGUUGAUUUUCAUUGUUGAAACUUUCGGAUUAUACAUAAAAUCAGUUCUGAAACAGAACACAUAAAUUAGCUUAAUAGGUGAAUAGCAUACCCUUUCAGAAUUAGCCAGAGAAAUAUAGAUUUGCUGUAUAUAAAUCAUAAAGCAUCCAGGAUAAGAAUUCGUUAAAUUUGUUACAUCUUAAAUAGUUUUAAAUAAACAUCUAUUUUAUUUAGUUAUGUAAGUAAUUGUUUUCUUUCUCUAAAGAAAGUUUUAUAAAAAUAUGCCAGAGAAAAAUAAGAGACUUGAACAAAGCAAGAAAGCCUCUAGGGGCUGAAGUUCAUUUAAAUCUCUCAGCUGCUGGGAAAUCAGUUUUAAGAAGCCAGUACUUAGAUAUCAAAACAACCAAACCAAAGCUAUGCCUUAAAUGUAUACAACUACAGUGAAUAUGAAAUCAAAUUUUAACAAAAUUAUCCAUUAAAAAUUACUGAUGAUUCAGAAAUAUACUGAAUUUGGAUCUAAGUCAGAAGAAAUAUAUUGUAUAAAAUAAGCAAUCCAACAAACAAGUUGUUUUUUUGAUGUUUAAUGUGAAAAUGAUGAUCUCAUGAAGUUUACAUACCACAGUAUUACGCAUUACUUAAUAUCAA
This is a long non-coding RNA of Bubalus bubalis (water buffalo), 2453 nucleotides long. RefSeq lists it as uncharacterized. Lineage: Eukaryota; Metazoa; Chordata; Mammalia; Artiodactyla; Bovidae. The record is from RefSeq and is a predicted model, not a curated record. The transcript is spliced from 2 exons.